Molecule: ribosomal RNA, 830 nt
Filed under: uncultured bacterium
Lineage: Bacteria
Description: bacterial SSU rRNA
Rfam family: Bacterial small subunit ribosomal RNA
Source: RNAcentral
CGCGGUAAUACGGAGGAUGCGAGCGUUAUCCGGAUUUAUAGGGUAUAAAGGGUGCGCAGGCGGACUGUUAAGUCAGCGGUAAAAUGUCGGUGCUCAACACCGGCCGGCCGUUGAAACUGGCAGCCUUGAGUGAGCGAGAAGUAUGCGGAAUGCGUGGUGUAGCGGUGAAAUGCAUAGAUAUCACGCAGAACUCCGAUUGCGAAGGCAGCAUACCGGCGCUCAACUGACGCUCAGGCACGAAAGCGUGGGUAUCGAACAGGCUUAGAUACCCUGGUAGUCCACGCAGUAAACGAUGAAUGCUCACUGUCCGGGCCGUUUAAGGCCUGGGUGGUCAAGCGAAAGCGUUAAGCAUUCCACCUGGGGAGUACGCCGGCAACGGUGAAACUCAAAGGAAUUGACGGGGGCCCGCACAAGCGGAGGAACAUGUGGUUUAAUUCGAUGAUACGCGAGGAACCUUACCCGGGCUCAAACGGAAGGGGACAGUAUGAGAAAUCAUACAUUCCUUCGGGACCGCUUCCGAGGUGCUGCAUGGUUGUCGUCAGCUCGUGCCGUGAGGUGUCGGCUUAAGUGCCAUAACGAGCGCAACCCCUAUCGACAGUUGCUAGCAGGUAAAGCUGAGGACUCUGUCGAGACUGCCGGCGCAAGCUGUGAGGAAGGCGGGGAUGACGUCAAAUCAGCACGGCCCUUACGUCCGGGGCGACACACGUGUUACAAUGGCAGGUACAGCGGGAAGCCACCCGGCGACGGGGCGCAGAACCCGAAAACCUGUCUCAGUUCGGAUUGGAGUCUGCAACCCGACUCCAUGAAGCUGGAUUCGCUAGUAAUCGCGC